Molecule: ribosomal RNA, 254 nt
Filed under: uncultured bacterium
Lineage: Bacteria
Description: partial 16S ribosomal RNA
Rfam family: Bacterial small subunit ribosomal RNA
Source: RNAcentral
UACGGGGGGAGCAAGCGUUGUUCGGAUUUACUGGGCGUAAAGGGCGCGUAGGCGGCCUGUGCAAGUCAGUUGUGAAAUCUCCGAGCUUAACUCGGAACGGUCAACUGAUACUGCUCGGCUAGAGUGCGGAAGGGGCAACUGGAAUUCCUGGUGUAGCGGUGAAAUGCGCAGAUAUCAGGAGGAACACCAAUUGCGAAGGCAGCUCGCUGGGACGUAACUGACGCUGAGACGCGAAAGCGUGGGGAGCAAACAGG